Podarcis lilfordi (Lilford's wall lizard) is the source of this 68-nucleotide non-coding RNA. Lineage: Eukaryota; Metazoa; Chordata; Lepidosauria; Squamata; Lacertidae. The record is from the annotation of a GenBank genome assembly.
GGGGCGCAAUGGGUCAGUGCUCCUGGCUCUUAACCUAAAGGUUGGUGGUUUGAGCCCACCCAGGGCCG